UGGGGAAUAUUGGACAAUGGGCGAAAGCCUGAUCCAGUCAUGCCGCGUGUGUGAAGAAGGUCUUCGGAUUGUAAAGCACUUUAAGUUGGGAGGAAGGGCAGUAAGUUAAUACCUUGCUGUUUUGACGUUACCGACAGAAUAAGCACCGGCUAACUCUGUGCCAGCAGCCGCGGUAAUACAGAGGGUGCAAGCGUUAAUCGGAAUUACUGGGCGUAAAGCGCGUGUAGGUGGAUGAAUAAGUUGGAUGUGAAAGCCCCGGGCUCAACCUGGGAAUGCCAUUCAAAACUGUUCAUCUAGAGUGUGGAAGAGGGAAGCGGAAUUUCCGGUGUAGCGGUGAAAUGCGUAGAUAUCGGAAGGAACACCAGUGGCGAAGGCGGCUUCCUGGUCCAACACUGACGCUGAGGCGCGAAAGCGUGGGGAGCAAACAGGAUUAGAUACCCCAGUAGUCCCUGAGCGGGCUGGCAAGGCG
RNAcentral lists this ribosomal RNA (469 nucleotides) under uncultured bacterium. RNAcentral describes it as "bacterial SSU rRNA". It matches the Rfam family "Bacterial small subunit ribosomal RNA", at positions 355 to 822 of the family's 1533-position model. The record is from RNAcentral.